Molecule: long non-coding RNA, 412 nt
Organism: Struthio camelus australis
Lineage: Eukaryota; Metazoa; Chordata; Aves; Struthioniformes; Struthionidae
Source: RefSeq, a predicted model, not a curated record
GUCUUCAUCUUCCAGAGAAAAAUCAUCGCUACUCUAAUCGCACGACAUGGAAGAUGAUCCAAGCUCUGUAAGCACCCUCCACAGUCGGAAGGAGGAGUAUCUACCAGAGACAAUUCUCUGAGUCUGUGAGACAUCUACAGCUUCUCUCAAACCAUGUUACGUCCAACUUCAUUGCACUAGUUCCUGCUGGCCAAACGUGAACAGAUGUACUUUUUUUGUGUCCAGGAUAGUACCGAAGGUGGAUGUGUACAGAUUGCUAACAGAACCAUGGCACUCUUGACAAGCAGACCCAGAUGUUUGGAUGCUUGUUAUCCCCGCUGCAGAAGGUUAUCCCGUUUCCAGUUCUGCCCAAGAAGCAGAUCACAGAAGUGCUGCCUACUUCAGGAGUGAGCAGAGAGGUCAAGAGCAGGAG